AUGAUCUAUGUUGUGUUGAAGGGUGUCAAAUGUGAUGUUGUACCUGGUCGUUCAAAUCUUACCUCCAUCUCGGUACAACGAGAAGGAGUUUACUAUGGUCAGUGCAGUGAGAUUCGUGGAACUAAUCGUGCCUUUACGCCUAUCGUUCUCUUUGCUUAG
This 159-nucleotide ribosomal RNA is filed under the name Triticum aestivum (bread wheat). RNAcentral describes it as "partial small subunit ribosomal RNA". Lineage: Eukaryota; Viridiplantae; Streptophyta; Magnoliopsida; Poales; Poaceae. The record is from RNAcentral.